GGGUUGUGAGGUUAAGCGACUAAGCGUACACGGUGGAUGCCCUGGCAGUCAGAGGCGAUGAAGGACGUGCUAAUCUGCGAUAAGCGCCGGUAAGGUGAUAUGAACCGUUAUAACCGGCGAUUUCCGAAUGGGGAAACCCAGUGUGACUCGUCACACUAUCAUUAACUGAAUCCAUAGGUUAAUGAGGCGAACCGGGGGAACUGAAACAUCUAAGUACCCCGAGGAAAAGAAAUCAACCGAGAUUCCCCCAGUAGCGGCGAGCGAACGGGGAGGAGCCCAGAGCCUGAAUCAGCAUGUGUGUUAGUGGAAGCGUCUGGAAAGGCGCGCGAUACAGGGUGACAGCCCCGUACACAAAAGCGCAUGUGCUGUGAGCUCGAUGAGUAGGGCGGGACACGUGGUAUCCUGUCUGAAUAUGGGGGGACCAUCCUCCAAGGCUAAAUACUCCUGACUGACCGAUAGUGAACCAGUACCGUGAGGGAAAGGCGAAAAGAACCCCGGCGAGGGGAGUGAAAAAGAACCUGAAACCGUGUACGUACAAGCAGUGGGAGCACCCUUUGGGGUGUGACUGCGUACCUUUUGUAUAAUGGGUCAGCGACUUAUAUUCUGUAGCAAGGUUAACCGAAUAGGGGAGCCGGAGGGAAAC
Molecule: ribosomal RNA, 643 nt
Filed under: Salmonella enterica subsp. enterica serovar Javiana
Lineage: Bacteria; Pseudomonadati; Pseudomonadota; Gammaproteobacteria; Enterobacterales; Enterobacteriaceae
Description: partial 23S ribosomal RNA
Rfam family: Bacterial large subunit ribosomal RNA
Source: RNAcentral